CUCCCGUUAAGUCCCUUGUAGGACCUCCCCCUUCUAAUGGUUCUCCAAUCUUGGAAAAUCAGGGAAGAAUUUCCGAAACUCCAAGGUCUUCUUUUCACUUGUUGUGCGUCAACUGCAAAGACUUUCGUCACAUUUCUUCUAAAUGUCCUAAUCAAACCUUAGUCAUGGAAGAACGAAAGAAUGUAAUAGAGGAGCCGUUAGAAGAUCUAGUCUAUGAACCUAAACUUAAAGAUUUUGAUAACUUGGAUGAUAGUGAGGACACUUCCUUAGGUGGAAUCCAGACUCUUCCCGAGACUUUGGAUACUGUACCCCUUAUCUCCAACAAUUCUCGAUCACAUGUUAUAUGUCAUACCCUUACCCAAGUUAAAGAGUUUGAUGAUGUCACCAAUCACUCUUGGAAAAUCCAGUCGCCUGUGGUUAACACUAAGGCAAAAUUAUCCACCACCGACCAACCUCAAAUUGAUGGUCAAAACAAAAGUGCUAACCAAAAUCCUGACAAUUUAUUUCAGUCUCUAGUCCAGAAAAAUCUUGGGAAUUGGGACUUGAUCCCUCCAACUGUUCAAAUUGCAUAUAACGAUCCUGUGCACUGGUCUUUAGGUCUAAAACCCUUUGAAGUUAUUCUUGGUUGUGAACCUUUGAAACCUCUAGACCUUAUUCCCAUGCACCCACAUGCUUGUGUGUCUAUGUCAGUUGAGGUAGCUGUAUCACAUUUUCGUAGCUUGCAUAUUGAGAUCAAUAAACAAUUUGAAGCAAGUAAAGCAUUAUAUAAACCUCAAGUUAAUUGGCAUAAACAACACUUUGAAUUUAAUAUUGGAGAUUAUAUUAUAUUGCAAGAGUGUAAUGCUGGUCUUUUUAAAAUUUCAAAGCAUGUUGGUCAAAAUGCCUAUGUCAAUGAUCUUUUAUCACAUUAUGACCAUCACCCUAUUUUAUUUGUUAAGGACUUCAAUACUUACAAUGGCUAUUUUAACACUUUUGUUGAUCCUUUUCUAUCUCUACCUGAGAACUCCCACACCGAAUCUUUUACUAUGUCUAUUCGAAUACCACCUAUCGCAGCACACAAAGAUAAAAUUGAUGUAAUUUUAGAUGAACUGGUUGUGUUAACCAUUGAUGGAGAGAAUCAGUGCUUCUUUAAUUGUUGGGUAGAUCAACGUUCUUAUUGUGCUCCACAUUAUGCGCAAUCAUGUGAAGAUUUUGGAGAUGAGUUGCAAGAGUAAUUGUUAUUUGGAGUCCAAUGUCGGUACUUGAUUAAAAUGAGGGAUCGUCCGCCUUGGUCGGAUCAUAUUCUUGAGGACAUGUUGCCAUUUGCAUUGUUAUCAACCGUGGAAUUCAGAUAUUUGGUUCUUCAAAAAGAUCGUCCACCGUGGUAUGAGUUCAGACAUUGAAGAUUGACGGUAGCUCUUUGUCAUUUGUUCACUCAACAAAGUCGAGUUUUUCUUCCACCCUGGGAGAAUUUAUGCGGACAUCACUUAUAUUAUUAUUGCACUAUUUUACUAUUUCUAGUUAUUGGGCUUGUAUUAUUGGUUUGGCCCAAGCCCAUCACUGGUAAGGUUAUGCUUUUACUAUUUAUAUGAUUUUCAAUUGUAAUUUCAGUUGAUGAUGAAUGAAUAAUUAUUUUGGUGGCUCAUGAC
Molecule: long non-coding RNA, 1628 nt
Filed under: Olea europaea subsp. europaea
Lineage: Eukaryota; Viridiplantae; Streptophyta; Magnoliopsida; Lamiales; Oleaceae
Source: RNAcentral